CAAAUUCUGACCCCAAGUCCAGAAGCCUUCCUCUCUGCCCUGACAGCUGCAGCAGUAUCUGUGGCUUCUGUUCGCUGCAUGACUGCUGAGCCUUUCUGUGUCCUGUGACUGGUUGCAUCAUCUCUCACCGUCCAGACAUGUCACCAGGAGGAAUUUACAGGCCAUGAACUGUACACUCAGGACAUUGCUCAUCUGUCCAGGGUAUCCACCCAUGAGCUCACCCUGAAGAGCCAUCAGCAGGUGUGUUGCAGCACGUACUUCUGAUGUCCCAGACACGCACAGAGUUGUCCAUGGAAGCAGAGGCAACCAGACAACUGUCUGGGCUAAAGGCUGGAAGACCGGUCACAGCCCAGGACUUGCUAAAAACUGACUCAGUGAUUGCAAAAGAGCCCUCCCUUACCCCACACUCACCCAACACAGCCCUGCUGCACAAGACUCCAGUUGAGAGCUGUAUGCUCGGGCUUGAGGCCUCCUACCUCUAUGCAGGUACCUUGCUUUUGCAUCUCCCUCUUCCCAUUAGGGUUAUUACUGGAACAGUUGCAGAACUCCUCUGUAGCAGCUGUAGACAGUGUCUCCUGUGGCUACCCCUCGAGGGAAGUGGUGACAGGAACUAGGAAAGGAAGGGAUGAUCUAUCAGUCUUUCUUUCCAUAAAGAUAGAACUCGGAUUUUAUUAUUAUUAUUAUUAUUAUUAUUAUUAUUAUUAUUAUUAUUAUUAAUUAUUACUGAGGAGGAAACCUAGCACUGGCAGAGGUGUCUCUGCUUCUGUCUGCAGGUUUGACUCCUGGCACUGGCUACGAUACUUGGAAUUUUGAGGUCCAGGGAAUUCAGACUUUGGUAGCCCAUGUAUCAGGAGAAAGG
RNAcentral lists this long non-coding RNA (859 nucleotides) under Cricetulus griseus (Chinese hamster). RNAcentral describes it as "lncRNA (ENSCGRG00015041441.1)". The record is from RNAcentral. Lineage: Eukaryota; Metazoa; Chordata; Mammalia; Rodentia; Cricetidae.